Leptopilina heterotoma is the source of this 311-nucleotide long non-coding RNA. RefSeq lists it as uncharacterized. The record is from RefSeq and is a predicted model, not a curated record. The transcript is spliced from 2 exons. Lineage: Eukaryota; Metazoa; Arthropoda; Insecta; Hymenoptera; Figitidae.
UAAAAAAAAUUCUCCUAGAGAAGAGAAAAGAAAUGUUUUUGAAAAUAUUUGUAAUUUUUUUAAUAAAUUUCUGCUUUCUUAUUGAUUUUAUUAAAAUGUGUACAUCAGGUGGUCGAUGUGCAUCUGACAAUGAAUGCUGUCGAAAUUCGCGUUGCAAAAAUAAUCAUUGUCGUAUUUAUAUAAAAGGCAGAUGAAUCAUUUGUACGAUAAACUGAAUGACAAUUUGGCAAAAAAAAAUUCUCUUCUGAUGUAUUCUUGUUUCGUUAAAUAAGAACAGUUUCAAUAAGUAAAAUAAAAAAUUAUAAAUAUAA